CGGCGAGUGAAGCGGCAACAGCUCAAAUUUGAAAUCUGGCGCAAGCCCGAGUUGUAAUUUGCAGAGGAUGCUUUUGGUGCGGUGCCUUCUGAGUUCCCUGGAACGGGACGCCGGAGAGGGUGAGAGCCCCGUACAGUUGGACACCAAGCCUUUGUAAAGCUCCUUCGACGAGUCGAGUAGUUUGGGAAUGCUGCUCUAAAUGGGAGGUAAAUGCCUUCUAAAGCUAAAUACCGGCCAGAGACCGAUAGCGCACAAGUAGAGUGAUCGAAAGAUGAAAAGCACUUUGAAAAGAGGGUUAAAAAGUACGUGAAAUUGUUGAAAGGGAAGCGCUCGUGACCAGACUUGCGCCCGGCGGAUCAUCCGGCCUUCUGGCCGGUGCACUUCGCCGGGCUCAGGCCAGCAUCGGUUCUUCUGGGGGGACAAAAGCAGCGGGAACGUAGCUCCUCCGGGAGUGUUAUAGCCCGUCGCAGAAUACCCCCGGGGGGACCGAGGACCGCGCUUCGGCAAGGAUGCUGGCGUAAUGGUCACCAGCGACCCGUCUUGAAACACGGACCAAGGAGUCAAGCAUUAGGGCGAGUGUUUGGGUGUCAAACCCGCACGCGAAAUGAAAGUGAACGCAGGUGAGAGCUUCGGCGCAUCAUCGACCGAUCCUGAUGUUUUCGGAUGGAUUUGAGUAAGAGCCUUACCGCUUGGACCCGAAAGAUGGUGAACUAUGCUUGGAUAGGGUGAAGCCAGAGGAAACUCUGGUGGAGGCUCGCAGCGGGUUCUGACGUGCAAAUCGAUCGUCAAAUCUGAGCAUGGG
Molecule: ribosomal RNA, 802 nt
Filed under: Myrmecridium sambuci
Lineage: Eukaryota; Fungi; Ascomycota; Sordariomycetes; Myrmecridiales; Myrmecridiaceae
Description: partial large subunit ribosomal RNA
Rfam family: Eukaryotic large subunit ribosomal RNA
Source: RNAcentral